AUAAUAAUAGAUUUAGAUUUAUUGCCAUCAAUAAAUAAUACAUGGCGCGUCAUAUAAUUAUGUACAUGUAAGUGUAUAUGGGACAAUACAUACAUUUAUUUUAAAUCUGGAGGGUUAUCCAGGAACUCUUGGAUAGAAUAAUAACUCAUUUCUAAUAGUGCGUCCUUUACCUUCUUCUCAAACAGAGCCGGAGCUAGUCUCUUCAUCGGGUCCUGAAGCUUGUUAUAAAGCUUCGGGCCCCAAUGGUCAAUGCUGUGCUGUGACACUUUAAGCCGAUGGUACGGUGUUGAGAGCGCGUCAGCGUGUCUUGUGUUAUGCUCGUGAUAUGAGCCAUUCUUGAUGAACUCGUGGAGGUGGUUGUGGACGUACCUCAGACAGCUCAAUAUGUACGCGGAAGGGAUGGUAAGAAUUUGUUGUUGUUUGAAGGCUGGGCGGCAGCUUUCCCGAUAGUUCAUUUGGCACAGGAUUCUGAUUGCUUUCUUUUGCAGGACGAAGAUCUUGUCAGCAUCUGAUGAAGUACCCCAUAGAAGUAUACCAUAGGUGGCUUUGCUGUGGAAGUUAGCAAAGUAUGUCACCCUUGCAGCUUGGGGAGUUGAGAUAUUCUUGAUUCUUCUGAUACUGAAUAAAGCUGAUGCUAGGUUUUUGCAGGUUUCCUGAAUGUGGUCCUUCCAAGAUGCUUUGCUAUUUAGGUAAAAUCCCAAGAAUUUUACCGAUGUGACGUUGGUGGGUUUUGAAGAUAUAAAUAGUUCCUGAGUCUUGUCUCCAUUGAGUUUCAGUUUAUUUGCUGUGAACCAUUCAUUGGCAUCUUCAAGGAUUUUUCUCAUUUUUGGUUUUAGCGUAUCCUCUGUUUCUUCUUUGAUGCAGAAGGAAGUGUCGUCCGCAUAUAGACACUGUCCAUCCACUCUCAUAUUGAUAGGCAAGUCAUUUACAUAGAUUAUAAAUAGCAGUGGACCGAGGAUUGAUCCCUGGGGCACUCCACACCUUGUUGGCAGAGGCUUUGACCAUUUUUCAUUCCAUUUUACUAUCUGGGUUCUAUUUUCAAGGGAAGAAUUUGUCAAAGGCAGCUGUCAGAGUUGUAUGGAAGACAGUGUAGGCCUCUUUUGCAUUACGGUGUUUGAAGACACGAGCCCACUCAAUUCCGGUUAAGUACUCCUUAAAGUAGUUCUUGCACUGGGUUCUUAAUCUUCAGGACUUGACAGUAGUGAUCAGACAUGCACCAACUUUUUGUCUCUUUUGAGAAGAUUUCUUCUAUGUUAAUAUUUGAAAAUAUAUUAUCUAUGCAGCUAGAAGAAGUUUCAGUUGUUCUAGAUGCCUCUCUCAUUAGUGGUUGCAUACCAUAUGUUGUGAAAGUUUCGAUUAAUAAAGAUUGUUCGACGCCAUCCUUGAGAAUAUUGGUGUUAAAGUCCCCAGCGACAAUGUAUCGUCUAGAGUGGUUCCUUUGUGUCAGGUUUUCUAGUGCUUCAUUAAUUUUAUCUAUGAAGUGCUUGAAGUUCUGAUUUGGAGAUCGAUAUACCGCCAUUAUUAUUAAGUUUUUUGAAGGAAUCUCAGCAGCUGAGAUUUCUGCAGUGAAUUCUUCACAUAGGGGUCUAAUGCCUUCAAUAUUUUUUGCGGAAAUACCCUCCCUUGUUGCGAUUAAGGAUCCGCCAUGCUGGUUAAGUGAUCUGCUAAAGUGGCUUAUAAUAUUAUAUCCUGGGAUGGUUAAGCUUUCCAGGGUGUUGUCCUUGCACCAGUGCUCAGUGAUAAUUACAAUGUCUACUUCGUCUUCUGUUAACUGUAUAGUCAGUGCGUCUAUUUUUUUCGAUAGUGAUUGUAUGUUAUAGUUUAUUAUUGUGGUUAGGUUUUCAAAACCUACCGAUUUGUUGGGGUCUUCUUUUUCGUCGUUUCGUUGGUUUAAUGAUUGGCUUGUUUCGGGUUUUUUGUCCUGGACUGUGUUACCCUCCUUGUCAACUUGUUUUUUUUGCUUGUUGUUUUCUAUCACCCUGUCAGAUGGCUUGUUACUUUUUUUCUGAGCUUUUACGUUCGUCAGGUUUUCUCUUUCUUGGUUUGUGAUGACAUCUGUGUGUCCUUUGUUGGAUCUUGUUAUUGGUUUGGACGAUUUGGUUUGUGACUCCGCUAACAGCUGAUCUAACCUUUGUAUUGUUCCGUUUUGAUUUUGUAUUUGUUUCAGACAGUCGUCAAUUUUUCCCUUAAGGUUACUUACAAUAUCUAUAAGGUGUCUCAUCGCUUCCUCUUGCGAGGGUCUGAUUCUGCAGGAGUCGCACACCCAUUUGAUAUUUUCCUUGUAGUUAUCUAGUACCUUGAUUUCUCCAGUUUUUCUCAAGUGCUACGACAACAUUUCUGUAUUUUUUCCAAGUAAUUAGUGAAUUGGUUGAAUUUUUACUCGGCCGUACUAUUUUUUUGGUACGUUUCGUCUCCUAACUUAUAGUCCUCCGUAGACUCGAUAAAGAAAUUUAGUGCUUUUACAAUUAACAAUCAGAGGGCGCGACACUCACAACACUAAUACGGUG
Molecule: long non-coding RNA, 2507 nt
Organism: Tribolium castaneum (red flour beetle)
Lineage: Eukaryota; Metazoa; Arthropoda; Insecta; Coleoptera; Tenebrionidae
Exons: 4
Source: RefSeq, a predicted model, not a curated record